GACGAACGCUGGCGGCGUGCCUAAUACAUGCAAGUAGAACGCUGAAGGCGGAGCUUGCUUCUCCGGAUGAGUUGCGAACGGGUGAGUAACGCGUAGGUAACCUGCCUGGUAGCGGGGGAUAACUAUUGGAAACGAUAGCUAAUACCGCAUAACAGUAGAUAUCGCAUGAUAUCUGCUUGAAAGGUGCAAUUGCAUCACUACCAGAUGGACCUGCGUUGUAUUAGCUAGUUGGUGAGGUAACGGCUCACCAAGGCGACGAUACAUAGCCGACCUGAGAGGGUGAUCGGCCACACUGGGACUGAGACACGGCCCAGACGCCUACGGGAGGCAGCAGUAGGGAAUCUUCGGCAAUGGACGGAAGUCUGACCGAGCAACGCCGCGUGAGUGAAGAAGGUUUUCGGAUCGUAAAGCUCUGUUGUAAGAGAAGAACGAGUGUGAGAGUGGAAAGUUCACACUGUGACGGUAUCUGACCAGAAAGGGACGGCUAACUACGUG
RNAcentral lists this ribosomal RNA (495 nucleotides) under uncultured bacterium. Its description in RNAcentral is "partial 16S ribosomal RNA". It matches the Rfam family "Bacterial small subunit ribosomal RNA", at positions 28 to 507 of the family's 1533-position model. The record is from RNAcentral.